RNAcentral lists this ribosomal RNA (121 nucleotides) under Danio rerio (zebrafish). Lineage: Eukaryota; Metazoa; Chordata; Actinopteri; Cypriniformes; Danionidae. The record is from RNAcentral.
UGCAGCUGGAAGGGCAUCUGCUGCAUGUGCUAGAGUUAGCUACUCAAUGAAGCUAAGCAGGGCUGAGCCUGGUCAGUACCUGGAUGGGAGACCACUAGGGAACACUAGGUUGCUGUUGGAA